UAUUGGACAAUGGGGGGAACCCUGAUCCAGCGACGCCGCGUGAGUGAGGAAGUAUCUCGGUAUGUAAAGCUCUAUCAGCAGGGGAGAAAGAAAUGACGGUACCUGAGUAAGAAGCCCCGGCUAACUACGUGCCAGCAGCCGCGGUAAUACGUAGGGGGCAAGCGUUAUCCGGAAUUACUGGGUGUAAAGGGAGCGUAGACGGUGAUGUAAGUCUGGAGUGAAAGGCGGGGGCCCAACCCCCGGACUGCUCUGGAAACUAUGUGACUGGAGUGCAGGAGAGGUGAGCGGAAUUCCUAGUGUAGCGGUGAAAUGCGUAGAUAUUAGGAAGAACACCGGUGGCGAAGGCGACUUUCUGGACUGUAACUGACGUUGAGGCACGAAAGUGUGGGGAGCAAACAGG
Molecule: ribosomal RNA, 400 nt
Filed under: uncultured bacterium
Lineage: Bacteria
Description: bacterial SSU rRNA
Rfam family: Bacterial small subunit ribosomal RNA
Source: RNAcentral